UGGGGAAAUAUUGCACAAUGGGCGAAAGCCUGAUGCAGCAACGCCGCGUGAGCGAAGAAGGUCUUCGGAUCGUAAAGCUCUGUCCUUGGGGAAGAUAAUGACGGUACCCUUGGAGGAAGCCCCGGCUAACUACGUGCCAGCAGCCGCGGUAAUACGUAGGGGGCAAGCGUUAUCCGGAAUUAUUGGGCGUAAAGAGUGCGUAGGUGGUUACCUAAGCAGGGGGGUGAAAGGCAAUGGCUUAACCAUUGUUAGCCCCCCUGAACUGGGCUACUUGAGUGCAGGAGAGGAAAGCGGAAUUCCUAGUGUAGCGGUGAAAUGCGUAGAUAUUAGGAGGAACA
RNAcentral lists this ribosomal RNA (338 nucleotides) under uncultured Anaerovorax sp. RNAcentral's name for it is "bacterial SSU rRNA". It matches the Rfam family "Bacterial small subunit ribosomal RNA", at positions 354 to 708 of the family's 1533-position model. The record is from RNAcentral. Lineage: Bacteria; Bacillati; Bacillota; Clostridia; Peptostreptococcales; Anaerovoracaceae.